CCGGCAGUAGCUCAGGGGUAAGAGCGGUCGUCUUAUAAGCGACAGGUCGGUGGUUCGAUUCCACCCUGCCGGACCA
This 76-nucleotide transfer RNA is filed under the name marine sediment metagenome. RNAcentral describes it as "tRNA-Ile". It matches the Rfam family "tRNA". From Rfam's summary of the family: Transfer RNA (tRNA) molecules are approximately 80 nucleotides in length. The record is from RNAcentral.